ACGGGAGGCAGCAGUGAGGAAUAUUGGUCAAUGGGCGGGAGCCUGAACCAGCCAAGUAGCGUGGAGGAAGACGGCCCUACGGGUUGUAAACUCCUUUUGCCGGGGGAUAAAAAACGGGACGUGUCCCGUCUUGCAGGUACCCGCGCGAAUAAGGACCGGCUAAUUCCGUGCCAGCAGCCGCGGUAAUACGGAAGGUCCGAGCGUUAUCCGGAUUUAUUGGGUUUAAAGGGAGCGUAGGCCGUGCUUUAAGCGUGUUGUGAAAUGUAGGCGCCCAACGUCUGCACUGCAGCGCGAACUGGAGCACUUGAGUACGCAGGAAGUAGGCGGAAUUCGUCGUGUAGCGGUGAAAUGCUUAGAUAUGACGAAGAACUCCGAUUGGGAAGCCAGCUUACUGUAGCGCCACUGACGCUGAUGCUCGAAAGCGUGGGUAUCGAACAGGAUUAGAUACCCUGGUA
Molecule: ribosomal RNA, 455 nt
Filed under: uncultured Prevotella sp.
Lineage: Bacteria; Pseudomonadati; Bacteroidota; Bacteroidia; Bacteroidales; Prevotellaceae
Description: bacterial SSU rRNA
Rfam family: Bacterial small subunit ribosomal RNA
Source: RNAcentral